GAGGGUGCAGCUCAGCAGUAGAGCACGUGCUUAGCAUGCACGAGGUCCUGGGUUCAACCCCCAGUACCUCCA
RNAcentral lists this transfer RNA (72 nucleotides) under Camelus bactrianus (Bactrian camel). It matches the Rfam family "tRNA". Rfam says of the family: Transfer RNA (tRNA) molecules are approximately 80 nucleotides in length. RNAcentral also lists the same sequence under 2 other names. The record is from Rfam by way of RNAcentral. Lineage: Eukaryota; Metazoa; Chordata; Mammalia; Artiodactyla; Camelidae.